RNAcentral lists this long non-coding RNA (1084 nucleotides) under Gouania willdenowi (blunt-snouted clingfish). RNAcentral's name for it is "lncRNA (ENSGWIG00000002531.1)". The record is from RNAcentral. Lineage: Eukaryota; Metazoa; Chordata; Actinopteri; Blenniiformes; Gobiesocidae.
UUUCUCUCUUUUUCUCGUUUUAAUGAAAUGGAAACCAGGAUGAAUAAUGAGCUCAAACCACAGUGAGUGUCUAAGCUGUGCAGCACUGUGUGACCUGCUCCCUGUUGUCUGUUUACAGUGGGACUGAUGAUGAUGAUGAUGAUGAUGAUGGAGAACAAAGUGCAUCUAUCUAUAGUCCAGCCACGUUCUUUAUGCUGCUCUCAUCACAAGCCUCAACGUUUACAGUCACUACUAAUGUCCACUCCAUUUAAAAAGAGGACAGGAUGUCCUGAGUGGAGAUGAUGGAGAUGAAGAGGAUUACUUUACGCAAAGAAAUCCACCUUCUAAUCUCCUUCAAUGCAUAUCUAAUGAUGAGUUCCAUCCAAAAAGCCAAAAUGAUAUUUAUCAUAAACUUCUGUGACGUUAAACAACUUGGAAAUAAUUUCAGUGAUAGAGAAACAUUUUCAUCAUCUGUCCAGCAGUGAUUCUAGCCUACUGUGAGUAAAGCUGACGGACAACUGAUGGAGCCGAGUUCUUUCCCAGCGGAGGAGCCAAGGUCCACGCCCACCAGACGGCCUGAGCCGUGCAGCCAGCGGGCACCCGCCGGUGGGCCCAGAGCCAGCAGGGACAGGACCCCAGGCCAGAAGGAGACACUGCAAGUCACCCCACCGGACCCCAGGCACACCAGCCAAGCCCCCCAAAGCGCCCCAGAUCACCCUUCAUUGAACCCCCAUCCCAGCCCACGAACCGGCCACCAUCCAGCAGGACCGCACAGCCCCAGACGGAGCAAGGACAGCAGCCCGGCCCCGCCGCCCACCGGCUCUCUAUUCACCAUUAUCUCAGUCCAACCUACUCCUCACAGAUUGUAGAGUCCACAGGUGGUAGUUUUCAUAAAAGGGGCGUGGCUAACAAUGACGCACAAUGGUCCAAUGACGUCACAGAAUCUUGUCCUCAGCCAAUAGUAAAAAUCAUAUUGUAAUAUCUGGUUUUAACCCAUAGAGGGCAGUCACUCUGACAUUUUACAACAAAAUACAACAAAUUGAAAUACUUUUGACUAAAAUGUUGAGAUUUGGAAGAGGAUCAAUAAACAGCACUACGUCAUACA